GGUGAACGCUGGCGGUAGGCCUAACACAUGCAAGUCGAACGGCAGCACAGUAAGAGCUUGCUCUUACGGGUGGCGAGUGGCGGACGGGUGAGGAAUACAUCGGAAUCUACUUUUUCGUGGGGGAUAACGUAGGGAAACUUACGCUAAUACCGCAUACGACCUACGGGUGAAAGCAGGGGAUCUUCGGACCUUGCGCGAUUGAAUGAGCCGAUGUCGGAUUAGCUAGUUGGCGGGGUAAAGGCCCACCAAGGCGACGAUCCGUAGCUGGUCUGAGAGGAUGAUCAGCCACACUGGAACUGAGACACGGUCCAGACUCCUACGGGAGGCAGCAGUGGGGAAUAUUGGACAAUGGGCGCAAGCCUGAUCCGGCCAUACCGCGUGGGUGAAGAAGGCCUUCGGGUUGUAAAGCCCUUUUGUUGGGAAAGAAAAGCAGCAGGUUAAUACCCCGCUGUUCUGACGGUACCCAAAGAAUAAGCACCGGCUAACUUCGUG
RNAcentral lists this ribosomal RNA (492 nucleotides) under uncultured bacterium. RNAcentral describes it as "partial 16S ribosomal RNA". It matches the Rfam family "Bacterial small subunit ribosomal RNA", at positions 28 to 507 of the family's 1533-position model. The record is from RNAcentral.